RNAcentral lists this ribosomal RNA (465 nucleotides) under Vreelandella stevensii. RNAcentral's name for it is "partial 16S ribosomal RNA". It matches the Rfam family "Bacterial small subunit ribosomal RNA", at positions 338 to 795 of the family's 1533-position model. The record is from RNAcentral. Lineage: Bacteria; Pseudomonadati; Pseudomonadota; Gammaproteobacteria; Oceanospirillales; Halomonadaceae.
CCUACGGGUGGCUGCAGUGGGGAAUAUUGGACAAUGGGCGAAAGCCUGAUCCAGCCAUGCCGCGUGUGUGAAGAAGGCCUUCGGGUUGUAAAGCACUUUCAGUGGGGAAGAAAGCCUUGGGGCUAAUACCCUCGAGGAAGGACAUCACCCACAGAAGAAGCACAGGCUAACUCCGUGCCAGCAGCCGCGGUAAUACGGAGGGUGCGAGCGUUAAUCGGAAUUACUGGGCGUAAAGCGCGCGUAGGCGGUCUGAUAAGCCGGUUGUGAAAGCCCCGGGCUCAACCUGGGAACGGCAUCCGGAACUGUCAGGCUAGAGUGCAGGAGAGGAAGGUAGAAUUCCCGGUGUAGCGGUGAAAUGCGUAGAGAUCGGGAGGAAUACCAGUGGCGAAGGCGGCCUUCUGGACUGACACUGACGCUGAGGUGCGAAAGCGUGGGUAGCAAACAGGAUUAGAUACCCCGGUAGUC